AAAGGGGGCAAGAGAGGGGGAAAAUAUUAAAGGGCUUAAAGCGUUAGUAGCUGGCUUGUUAAGUCUCUGGGGAAAUCUUCCGGCUCAACCGGAAGGCGUCUCAGGGAUACUGGCAGGCUAGGGACCGGAAGAGGUGAGAGGUACUCCAGGGGUAGGAGUGAAAUCCUGUAAUCCUUGGGGGACCACCUGUGGCGAAGGCGUCUCACCAGGACGGCUCCGACAGUGAGGAACGAAAGCUGGGGGAGCAAACCG
This 252-nucleotide ribosomal RNA is filed under the name uncultured prokaryote. RNAcentral describes it as "partial 16S rRNA". It matches the Rfam family "Archaeal small subunit ribosomal RNA", at positions 475 to 726 of the family's 1478-position model. The record is from RNAcentral.